RNAcentral lists this ribosomal RNA (446 nucleotides) under uncultured bacterium. RNAcentral describes it as "bacterial SSU rRNA". It matches the Rfam family "Bacterial small subunit ribosomal RNA", at positions 331 to 793 of the family's 1533-position model. The record is from RNAcentral.
CCAGACUCCUACGGGAGGCAGCAGUGGGGAAUAUUGCACAAUGGGGGGAACCCUGAUGCAGCGACGCCGCGUGGGUGAAGGAGUAUUUCGGUAUGUAAAGCCCUAUCAGCAGGGAAGAACAAUGACGGUACCUGACUAAGAAGCACCGGCUAAAUACGUGCCAGCAGCCGCGGUAAUACGUAUGGUGCAAGCGUUAUCCGGAUUUACUGGGUGUAAAGGGAGCGUAGACGGCGACGCAAGUCUGGAGUGAAAGCCCGGGGCCCAACCCCGGGACUGCUCUGGAAACUGCGUCGCUGGAGUACGGGAGGGGCAGGCGGAAUUCCUGGUGUAGCGGUGAAAUGCGUAGAUAUCAGGAGGAACACCGGCGGCGAAGGCGGCCUGCUGGACCGUGACUGACGUUGAGGCUCGAGAGCGUGGGGAGCAAACAGGAUUAGAUACCCCCGUAU